AUUGAACGCUGGCGGCAGGCUUAACACAUGCAAGUCGAGCGCGCGGCGGACGGGUGAGUAAUGUCUGGGAAACUCCCUGGUGGGGGGGGAUAACUACUAGAAACGGUAGCUAAUCCCGCAUACCAUCAGAUGUGCCCAGAUGGGAUGAGCUAGUGGGUGGGGUAACGGCUCACCUAGGCGACGAUCCCUAUCUGGUCUGAGAGGAUGACCAGCCACACUGGAACUGAGACACGGUCCAGACUCCUACGGGAGGCAGCAGUGGGGAAUAUUGCACAAUGGGCGCAAGCCUGAUGCAGCCAUGCCGCGUGUGUGAAGAAGGCCUUCGGGUUGUAAAGCACUUUCAGCGAGGAGGCGUUACUAGCAGAAGAAGCAACGGCUAAAUACGUGCCAGCAGCCGCGGUAAUAC
RNAcentral lists this ribosomal RNA (406 nucleotides) under uncultured bacterium. RNAcentral describes it as "partial 16S ribosomal RNA". It matches the Rfam family "Bacterial small subunit ribosomal RNA", at positions 30 to 526 of the family's 1533-position model. The record is from RNAcentral.